Molecule: ribosomal RNA, 402 nt
Filed under: uncultured bacterium
Lineage: Bacteria
Description: bacterial SSU rRNA
Rfam family: Bacterial small subunit ribosomal RNA
Source: RNAcentral
GGGCCCGCACAAGCGGUGGAGCAUGUGGUUUAAUUCGAUGAUACGCGAGGAACCUUACCAAGGCUUAAAUGUAGAGGGACAGGCGGCGAAAGUUGCCCUUCUUCGGACACUUAACAAGGUGCUGCAUGGUUGUCGUCAGCUCGUGCCGUGAGGUGUCAGGUUAAGUCCUAUAACGAGCGCAACCCCUGUUGUUAGUUGCCAGCGAGUAAUGUCGGGAACUCUAGCAAGACUGCCAGUGCAAACUGUGAGGAAGGUGGGGAUGACGUCAAAUCAUCACGGCCCUUACGUCCUGGGCUACACACGUGCUACAAUGGUAGGUACAGAGAGCAGCCAAUGCGCGAGCAUGAGCAAAUCUUCAAAGCCGGUCUCAGUUCGGAUCGCAGUCUGCAACUCGACUGCGUG